UCAGCAGCCGCGUAACACGUAAGGGGCGAGCGUGUCGGAAUUAUUGGGCGUAAAGGGCAUGUAGGCGGUUAUGUAAGCUGAUGUGAAAUCUGGGGCUUAACCCUAGAAUAGCAUUGGGUACUGUGUAACUUGAAUUACGGAAGGGAAACUGGAAUUCCAAGUGUAGGGGUGGAAUCUGUAGAUAUUUGGAAGAACACCGGUGGCGAAGGCGGGUUUCUGGCCGAUAAUUGACGCUGAGAUGCGAAAGUGUGGGGAUCGAACAGGAUUAGAUACCCUGGUAGUCCACACCGUAAACGAUGUACACUAGGUGUUGGGGCAAGAGCUUCAGUGCCAAAGCAAACGCGAUAAGUGUACCGCCUGGGGAGUAUGCCCGCAAGGGUGAAACUCAAAGGAAUUGACGGGGGCCCGCACAAGCGGUGGAGCAUGUGGUUUAAUUCGAUGGUACGCGAGGAACCUUACCUGGGUUUGACAUCUAGUAGAAGGUCUUAGAGAUAAGAUCGGGUAGCAAUACCCUGCUAGACAGGUGCUGCAUGGCUGUCGUCAGCUCGUGCCGUGAGGUGUUGGGUUAAGUCCCGCAACGAGCGCAACCCCUACUGCCAGUUACUAACAGGCAACGCUUGAGGACUCUGGCGGAACUGCCGAUGACAAAUCGGAGGAAGGUGGGGAUGACGUCAAGUCAUCAUGGCCCUUAUGUCCAGGGCUACACACGUGCUACAAUGGUUACUACAAAGCGAAGCGAAACCGUGAGGGAGAGCAAACCGCAAAAAAGUAAUCGUAGUUCGGAUUGAAGUCUGAAACUCGACUUCAUGAAGUUGGAAUCGCUAGUAAUCGCGCAUCAGCACGGCGCGGUGAAUACGUUCCCGGGCCUUGUACACACCGCCCGUCACACCAUCCGAGUUGGGGGUACCCGAAGUCGCUCGUCUAACCCGUAAGGGAGGACGGUGCCGAAGGUACGCUUGGUGAGGAGGGUGAAGUCGUAACAAGGUAGCCGU
This 992-nucleotide ribosomal RNA is filed under the name uncultured bacterium. Its description in RNAcentral is "bacterial SSU rRNA". It matches the Rfam family "Bacterial small subunit ribosomal RNA", at positions 508 to 1503 of the family's 1533-position model. The record is from RNAcentral.